CGCGGCCUAUCAGCUUGUUGGUGGGGUAGUGGCCUACCAAGGCGACGACGGGUAGCCGGCCUGAGAGGGUGACCGGCCACACUGGGACUGAGACACGGCCCAGACUCCUACGGGAGGCAGCAGUGGGGAAUAUUGCGCAAUGGGCGGAAGCCUGACGCAGCGACGCCGCGUGGGGGAUGACGGCCUUCGGGUUGUAAACCUCUUUCAGUAGGGACGAAGCGCAAGUGACGGUACCUACAGAAGAAGCACCGGCCAACUACGUGCCAGCAGCCGCGGUAAUACGUAGGGCGCAAGCGUUGUCCGGAAUUAUUGGGCGUAAAGAGCUCGUAGGCGGUUUGUUGCGUCGGCUGUGAAAACCUGAGGCUCAACCUCAGGCCUGCAGUCGAUACGAGCAGACUAGAGUGUUGCAGGGGAGACUGGAAUUCCUGGUGUAGCGGUGAAAUGCGCAGAUAUCAGGAGGAACACCGGUGGCGAAGGCGGGUCUCUGGGCAACAACUGACGCUGAGGAGCGAAAGCGUGGGGAGCGAACAGGAUUAGAUACCCUGGUAGUCCACGCCGUAAACGUUGGGCGCUAGGUGUGGGGCUCAUUCCACGAGUUCCGUGCCGCAGCUAACGCAUUAAGCGCCCCGCCUGGGGAGUACGG
This 643-nucleotide ribosomal RNA is filed under the name uncultured bacterium. RNAcentral describes it as "bacterial SSU rRNA". It matches the Rfam family "Bacterial small subunit ribosomal RNA", at positions 232 to 885 of the family's 1533-position model. The record is from RNAcentral.